AGAACGAACGCUGGCGGCAGGCUUAACACAUGCAAGUCGAACGCUCGUGAGCGAUCACGGGAGUGGCAGACGGGUGAGUAACGCGUGGGAACAUACCCUUUGGUUCGGGAUAACUCAGGGAAACUUGAGCUAAUACCGGAUACGCCCCUGGAUGAAAGUUUGGGGGAAAGAUUGAUUGCCGGAGGAUUGGCCCGCGUUCGAUUAGCUAGUUGGUGAGGUAACGGCUCACCAAGGCGACGAUCGAUAGCUGGUCUGAGAGGAUGAUCAGCCACAUUGGGACUGAGACACGGCCCAAACUCCUACGGGAGGCAGCAGUGGGGAAUAUUGGACAAUGGGCGCAAGCCUGAUCCAGCCAUGCCGCGUGAGUGAUGACGGCCUUAGGGUGUAAAGCUCUUUCGCUCGGGACGAUAAUGACGGUACCGAGAUAAGAGCCCCGGAUAACUCGCGCCAGCAGCCGC
This 458-nucleotide ribosomal RNA is filed under the name uncultured bacterium. RNAcentral's name for it is "SSU rRNA". It matches the Rfam family "Bacterial small subunit ribosomal RNA", at positions 26 to 518 of the family's 1533-position model. The record is from RNAcentral.